This 360-nucleotide unclassified non-coding RNA is filed under the name Hevea brasiliensis (rubber tree). The record is from RNAcentral. Lineage: Eukaryota; Viridiplantae; Streptophyta; Magnoliopsida; Malpighiales; Euphorbiaceae.
CCUUCAUAGUCCACCAAGUAGAAGUCCCCACCGGAAUCCUAGAAGCCCAAAUGGACCUGCAUCAUUGUUGAAUGCAAAACUGUCAAUUGAAAGCUCAACCCCAGGGCGUGAAAGUAAUGCCAACUUUGAGGUCCAUCCAUUACCGCUUCCUCCUGGAGCAGCCAGGCCUUCAUUAUCAGCUCCCAUUUCCCAAGUUAUUGCUAAAGCAGAGUCCAUACCCUUGAAAAGUCAGUGGCAGAAGGGAAAGCUUAUUGGACGUGGUACAUUUGGCAGUGUUUAUGUUGCCAGCAACAGGGAAACUGGGGCAUUAUGUGCAAUGAAGGAAGUUGACAUAUUUCCAGAUGACCCAAAAUCUGCAGA